AGAGUUUGAUCCUGGCUCAGAACGAACGCUGGCGGCGUGGCUAAGGCAUGCAAGUCGAACGGGACGCUUGUGAUGGUAACAUUUCGGGCGUUUAGUGGCGAACGGGUGAGUAAUGCAUGGGUAACGUACCUCGGACUCAGGGAUAGCGGCGUCCUUCGGGACUUUAGCGAAAGUGCCGGUAAUACCUGACGACAUCUUGGAGUCACAUGGCUCUGGGAUCAAAGAUGGGGAUCCUUCGGGACCUAUCGGUCGGAGAUCGGCCCAUGUCCUAUCAGCUUGUUGGUGGGGUAACGGCCUACCAAGGCUUUGACGGGUAGCCGGCGUGAGAGCGCGAUCGGCCACAUCGGGACUGAGACACUGCCCGGACACCUACGGGUGGCUGCAGCAACGAAUAUUCCGCAAUGGACGAAAGUCUGACGGAGCGACGCCGCGUGGAGGAUGAAGUCUUUCGGGAUGUAAACUUCAAUAAUAGACCAGGAAGUAAACCGGGUUAAUACCCCGGUGCGCUGACCAAUUUAUGAAAAGGGGCGGCUAACUCCGUGCCAGCAGCCGCGGUAACACGGAGGCCCUGAGCGUUGUUCGGAAUCACUGGGCUUAAAGAGCGUGUAGGCGGGACGGCAAGUACUUUGUGAAAUCCCCGGCUUCAAUCCGGGAACUGCUUGGUAUACUG
RNAcentral lists this ribosomal RNA (670 nucleotides) under uncultured bacterium. Its description in RNAcentral is "bacterial SSU rRNA". It matches the Rfam family "Bacterial small subunit ribosomal RNA", at positions 8 to 635 of the family's 1533-position model. The record is from RNAcentral.